GACGAACGCUGGCGGUGUGCCUCACACAUGCAAGUCGAGCGGACGAAGAUUGAAGCUUGCUUCAGUCCAAGUUAGCGGCGGACGGGUGAGUAACACGUAGGAAUCUGCCUUCAGGCGGGGGACAACGGAACGAAAGUUGCGCUAAUACCCCAUAUGCGAGUAAUCGUAAAAGGAGCAAUCCACCGGAAGAUGAGCCUGCGUCCGAUUAGCUAGUUGGUAGGGUAAAAGCCUACCAAGGCUACGAUCGGUAGUUGGUCUGAGAGGAUGAUCAGCCACAAUGGAACUGAGACACGGUCCAUACUCCUACGGGAGGCAGCAGUGGGGAAUUUUACGCAAUGGGCGAAAGCCUGACGUAGCGACACCGCGUGAGCGAAGAAGCCUUUUGGGGUGUAAAGCUCUGUCAGCUGGAACGAACACAAUGACGGUACCAGCAGAGGAAGCAUCGGCUAACUACGUG
This 457-nucleotide ribosomal RNA is filed under the name uncultured bacterium. RNAcentral describes it as "bacterial SSU rRNA". It matches the Rfam family "Bacterial small subunit ribosomal RNA", at positions 28 to 507 of the family's 1533-position model. The record is from RNAcentral.